RNAcentral lists this ribosomal RNA (253 nucleotides) under uncultured bacterium. RNAcentral's name for it is "partial 16S ribosomal RNA". It matches the Rfam family "Bacterial small subunit ribosomal RNA", at positions 524 to 776 of the family's 1533-position model. The record is from RNAcentral.
UACGUAGGUUGCAAGCGUUAUUCGGAAUUACUGGGCGUAAAGCGUGCGUAGGCGGUUUCUUACGUCUGCUGUGAAAGCCCUGGGCUCAACCUGGGAAUGGCGGUGGAUACUGAGAAGCUGGAGUACGGUAGAGGAAGGUGGAAUUCCUGGUGUAGCAGUGAAAUGCGUAGAUAUCAGGAGGAACACCUAUGGCGAAGGCAGGUCACUGGGCCGCAACUGACGCUGAGGAGCGAAGGCAUGGGGAGCGAACAGG